AGCUUCUAAAAUCAUAUCCCUGCUUCUAGUUUUAUGUGGCUUCAUCUAUUCUGAUGUCAGAGUGAUCUUUCCAACAUUUCUGGAGACCGGGAAGUCCAAGAUCAAGGUGCUGGCUGAUUCGGUUUCUGGUGAAGACUCUUUUCUUGGUUUGCAGAUGGCUACCUUCUAGCUGUGCCUUUACAUUGCAGAGAGCUCUGGUAAAGCCUCCUCUUCUUAUAAAGGCACUAAUCUCAUGACUGAGGGUCCCUGAAGACCUCAUAUAAACCUAAUUAUCUCCCAAAGGCCUCAUCCCCAAAUACCAUCACACUGAAGGUUAAGGGCUACAAUAUAAGAAUUUUGGAGAGACACAAAUCAGUCCAUAGUGCAUGUUAUCUGUUACGCAGGAAUUUGGUUAAAUUAUGUCUCCAGUAUUUAUAAGACAUUAUUGCAUAACCAUGAUCACGCAGAAAGUUAAAAAUGUAUUACUUUUCCCCCUUCAUGCUAACAUUAUAAUACACUGGUUGUCUCGUUUUUAUUUGGUGUCCAAGUUGGUGCUUUUCUGCCUACCCCAUUAAUAUGGAAAUGGCAAAGACAGGAUGGUGUAGUGGUCAAGGUCUUGAAUUCUUAAGCCUGCAUUUGAAUCUCAACUCUACCUAGACAGCUGUGUAAAACUAUGCAAAUUACUUAGCUCAUGCCUCUGACUCCUCAUUUCUGAAAUAGGGAUUAUGUAAUACCUUCCUCAGAGUUGUUCUGAGAAUUAAAGGAGGUAAUGUGUAUAAUACUCUUAGCUGAGCACAUGGAAAGCACCCAUUAUAUGUUAUAUGUUAGUCAAAAAAGGACAAAACGUGAAGGGGCUAUUGCAGCUAGCUGAGAGGAUGGCUCAGCACCAACAACUGGCAAUCAAGGCAGUGCAGCCAGUAGUGAAGUAGGUUCCAUCUUACUUUAAAAUUGGUACACUUGCUAGAAAAAUGUCUUUUCUCUCAUUUUAAAAAGCUGUUUCUUCGCUUAUCAAGGCCCCCAGAGGAAAAUUAGAGAGAAGAUGGCCAAUAUUUCAGAAAAGCAAAUAGGAGGAGGAAAAAACAAGCUAAUGAAAAGAGUACGUGCAAUCUACUAGAAACUUCUGCUUUUGAAAUGAGUGCUGCUUCUUCUGCCCUAUUUUUCAGAGUACUUCUUAUUAAGUCUGUCAGGCACAUGUGGAAUUUUAGAACCUCUCUUUUAGCAAUGCCUUUUUCAAAAACUAGAAAAAAGUAAGUGCUGUUUUGUGAAGUAUGUACCAAUACGGGAGGAAGACUGAACACUUUUUUCAAUGAACCUUAUUUUUUAUAAAUGAAUUGACUGAAGUUACUGUAAACAUGCUUUACAAAUACUGUGAUACAUGGCUCUGAUUGUUUUCUUUGAAGAUGUUUGAAUUGGUAAAUGUAUUUGCUCACUCCAUUUAACUUUGUAAGUACUCUAUAAAUUUUGCAGUAGUCCUUAAGCCAAAAGCAAUAAAAUCUGACCUACUAAGUCUAAUAUCA
This is a long non-coding RNA of Pteropus alecto (black flying fox), 1496 nucleotides long. RefSeq lists it as uncharacterized. The record is from RefSeq and is a predicted model, not a curated record. The transcript is spliced from 2 exons. NCBI's taxonomy places the organism in Eukaryota, Metazoa, Chordata, Mammalia, Chiroptera, Pteropodidae.